CUUUCAAAACAUGUCUAUGGUUUCAUCUUUGGAUAUGUAGGAACCUGAGGUAAUGUGGUUUGGGAGAAAUUUGGGGGUAGCUUGCUCCCUGAUGGCCCAAGAUCAACGAGCCCACACUG
Sorex araneus (European shrew) is the source of this 119-nucleotide small nucleolar RNA. The record is from Ensembl. Lineage: Eukaryota; Metazoa; Chordata; Mammalia; Eulipotyphla; Soricidae.